GUGCGCACUUCAGCAGCACAUAUACUAAAAUUGGAACAAUACAGAGAAGAUUAGUAUGGGUCCUGCACAAGGAUGACAUGCAAAUUCAUGAAGCAUUCCAUAUUUUU
Molecule: small nuclear RNA, 107 nt
Filed under: Dasypus novemcinctus (nine-banded armadillo)
Lineage: Eukaryota; Metazoa; Chordata; Mammalia; Cingulata; Dasypodidae
Source: RNAcentral